UCCCCCGGCUCGAAGAGUUUGGGAUCCGUAGCGGGAGCGGGAAAGGUGCGCUGGCUUACAAGGUGGCUGGGAGAAUAUCAUGAAAGUCCAGAAGGAUUACACCAUUGAAGAGGCCUGUGUUGUUAUGGAAAAAGCUGUGAAAGCCAUCAAGCCCCAAACAACACAUGAGUGCUGAAGAAAACUGUGUCCGGAUGUUGUGUGUGACUUCACAGGAUUUACAACAGAGCCAAUCAAGAACGUCAUGGAAGAGAUUGUGGAUACGGCACCAAAAAUGAAUAAAUAAAUAAGAUAGGCAUAAAGUAUUUGAAGAUACAGAUCUUGGAGAAA
Saimiri boliviensis boliviensis (Bolivian squirrel monkey) is the source of this 327-nucleotide long non-coding RNA. RefSeq lists it as uncharacterized. The record is from RefSeq and is a predicted model, not a curated record. Lineage: Eukaryota; Metazoa; Chordata; Mammalia; Primates; Cebidae.